GUUAUUAUGGACUUUACUUCAGAUGACGUUUGUCUGAACCACUCAUAUUUUAAGUCAGCAGAGUCCUUCACAUCACAGCCCUGCAGGUGUACGUGCCUCCUUCAGACACAGAGAUCGUUCUGCCUGAUUCAUCAGUUAUUAUGGACUUUUCUUCAGAUGACGUUUGUCUGAACCACUCAUAUUUUAAGUCAGCAGAUUCCUUCACAUCACAGCCCUGCAGGUGUACGUGCCUCCUUCAGACACAGAGAUCGUUCUGCCUGAUUCACCAGUUAUUAUGGACUUUACUUCAGAUGACGUUUGUCUGAACCACUCAUAUUUUAAGUCAGCAGAGUCCUUCACAUCACAGGUCAGUGUCACACUGCCCCCUGCUGGUAUGGUUGUGCUGUCUGCUGUUAGUACGGGCUUGUCAUGUACUGUAAGUUAGAAAUACAAAAAAAAAAAAAAAAAAAUCCCCCCAAAACAAGAGAACUAUUGUCACUGCAGGUUUAGUGAGAAUUUUAAAAAGACCAUUAUGUUUUACUAGAUUUGUAGCUCUGCAUCUGUUCACCACCACAGUCAAU
Molecule: long non-coding RNA, 560 nt
Organism: Astatotilapia calliptera (eastern happy)
Lineage: Eukaryota; Metazoa; Chordata; Actinopteri; Cichliformes; Cichlidae
Source: Ensembl